This is a long non-coding RNA of Ictalurus punctatus (channel catfish), 1840 nucleotides long. NCBI's taxonomy places the organism in Eukaryota, Metazoa, Chordata, Actinopteri, Siluriformes, Ictaluridae. The record is from Ensembl.
GCGCUGUGCGAGUCACUUCACAAGUAGCAGGUUCGCUCUGCUGCAGUAUCAGUUGCAGGAGCUGAGUGAGAGAGAGCGUAGGGCGCGAAACCAUAACCAGAAACUAUUGCAGGAUUUCCAGAGAGCACAGAAGACCCUCAGUGACUUGGUGGCUCGUACUGAAGCCAUGAACACCAUAAGGAUGGGGUAUGAGAGGUACCUGGAGGAGAACUACCCUAAAUGGCAGCAGAAGCUGCAAGACAAGAGGUUGUCAGAACAGCCAAAGGUCCAGAUGAUAGAACAGCACCUAAAGGCCUGCACACCACAGACGGAGGAGGAAGGUCAAAGGAUAGAUAGACGCAACAAGCACCCUUUUAGAAUCAUCUCUCCUUCAGCUGUUUCUCCUGACCCAUCUCAUUGUCCCAUCUUUAAUUUCCUUCCACAUAUAUCUGAGCAUAGAGAUAAUAUGGGAGAAGACCCAAUAUCUAGGCAUGGUUUAUUCCACCCAGGCAGCAAACAAAACAUGCAAGGAAACAUCCAAAAUUCCAUCCAUUCUUCCUUUCCCUCUAUGUGGUUAACACCGUUACAGCCUCCAGUAACUGAACCGGAGCAUAGUAACAUCUCAAAGAACACCAAAAACAUCCAGAAUGUUCACCAAGCUUUGAAUUCAUCUUUGCUUGACCCCAACCUAUUGUCCAGUGAUCCACUCCAAAGUCUUUACUCAGUAGUCCCGCAAGACCCUCCUUCCUAUGAACAUUUGAGGCAAUAUUCAAACUCCUGGGCAUCUGGGAAUGAAAAGUUUAACCUGAGAGUUCAGUGCCCCACUGAUUGUCCUUCUUGGUCAGACCUGCCUUUGAUUAAUGGGGAUACGGAGAGAAGAGAAGAAGAAGGAGGGCAGAAAAGGCAAGAAGCAUCAUCAAACUCUCAAGGUGAGAAUCAUCACAUGCAGAAGCAAAGGAAGAAAGUGAACAGCAGUCACACUAAGCCAGUGAAUAUAUCAAAUUACUAUGGCAACACCAGUGAAAGCAGUGAUCUGUCCUCUAAAGCUGUCAAAAGCCUUCCUACUGAAGUUCAGAGGAGAAGAAAUAAGAAGAGAAGAGAAGAAAAACAGCCACACAACACAAGGAAAGAUGCUGUUUUUCAGGGGUCAUCCUCAAUAUCAGACUGUCAGUCUGUUCCAAACCACAACAAGCACAAGAGAAAUCUGCUGAUUUCUUGUGGAGAGUCUAAUGGGAGAAUAAAAAAUCCCUUCAGGACUUCUAAAUUUGCUGUAGAUUCCCCUAAACAAUUAGUGAUGGAGAACAAAGAUGGUGGUAGCCCGAUUGAGGGAACACUCACAAGCAUUUCCUGUACAGUUGAGACAAGAGGGAUGCAGAUACAUGAAAAUAAGGAAGACGAAGGGGAGGAAGAAGAUAUAUUAAGUACUGGAGUGAAGCAAGUGAAUGAAGUGGCAAACAGAUAUUCAACUGAGAAUCGAGAGAAGAGAGCAUGUCUGUUUGAAGAACAGGAUAAAGAAGUAGAGUUUGAGGGAACAUGCAGAGAGCAGAGCAGUACACAUGAAGAAGAAGCACAGGAGAAGGAACCUUUAAGAAGCAACACGUCUGUUAAGGAAUCCCUUCUUGAAGAGGUGGAGUUUGUGAGAGAAAGUGAGGCAGAGGAAGGAGGAAUAGGAGAAGAGGAGGAGGAAGGUGGAGAGCAGGGAUAUGAAGAUGAGAAAAUCAGAGCAUCAGGAAGAAGGAGCAAUGAGAAUGAUUAUGAAUCUGAUAAAGAAGGAAGUUGCAAUGAAGUUUUGGUAUCGGGUUCAGAAAGAAGCAUCCAGGACAGUCUCAGAGAGUUGUAUAAAGAUGACACUGAAGAUGAC